GGCGGUGUGCCUAAUACAUGCAAGUCGAACGCGUUGGCCCAAUUGAUUGAUGGUGCUUGCACCUGAUUGAUUUUGGUCGCCAACGAGUGGCGGACGGGUGAGUAACACGUAGGUAACCUGCCCAGAAGCGGGGGACAACAUUUGGAAACAGAUGCUAAUACCGCAUAACAGCGUUGUUCGCAUGAACAACGCUUAAAAGAUGGCUUCUCGCUAUCACUUCUGGAUGGACCUGCGGUGCAUUAGCUUGUUGGUGGGGUAACGGCCUACCAAGGCGAUGAUGCAUAGCCGAGUUGAGAGACUGAUCGGCCACAAUGGGACUGAGACACGGCCCAUACUCCUACGGGAGGCAGCAGUAGGGAAUCUUCCACAAUGGGCGCAAGCCUGAUGGAGCAACACCGCGUGAGUGAAGAAGGGUUUCGGCUCGUAAAGCUCUGUUGUUAAAGAAGAACACGUAUGAGAGUAACUGUUCAUACGUUGACGGUAUUUAACCAGAAAGUCACGGCUAACUACGUGCCAGCAGCCGCGGUAAUACGUAGGUGGCAAGCGUUAUCCGGAUUUAUUGGGCGUAAAGAGAGUGCAGGCGGUUUUCUAAGUCUGAUGUGAAAGCCUUCGGCUUAACCGGAGAAGUGCAUCGGAAACUGGAUAACUUGAGUGCAGAAGAGGGUAGUGGAACUCCAUGUGUAGCGGUGGAAUGCGUAGAUAUAUGGAAGAACACCAGUGGCGAAGGCGGCUACCUGGUCUGCAACUGACGCUGAGACUCGAAAGCAUGGGUAGCGAACAGGAUUAGAUACCCUGGUAGUCCAUGCCGUAAACGAUGAGUGCUAGGUGUUGGAGGGUUUCCGCCCUUCAGUGCCGGAGCUAACGCAUUAAGCACUCCGCCUGGGGAGUACGACCGCAAGGUUGAAACUCAAAGGAAUUGACGGGGGCCCGCACAAGCGGUGGAGCAUGUGGUUUAAUUCGAAGCUACGCGAAGAACCUUACCAGGUCUUGACAUCUUGCGCCAACCCUAGAGAUAGGGCGUUUCCUUCGGGAACGCAAUGACAGGUGGUGCAUGGUCGUCGUCAGCUCGUGUCGUGAGAUGUUGGGUUAAGUCCCGCAACGAGCGCAACCCUUGUUACUAGUUGCCAGCAUUAAGUUGGGCACUCUAGUGAGACUGCCGGUGACAAACCGGAGGAAGGUGGGGACGACGUCAGAUCAUCAUGCCCCUUAUGACCUGGGCUACACACGUGCUACAAUGGACGGUACAACGAGUCGCGAACUCGCGAGGGCAAGCAAAUCUCUUAAAACCGUUCUCAGUUCGGACUGCAGGCUGCAACUCGCCUGCACGAAGUCGGAAUCGCUAGUAAUCGCGGAUCAGCAUGCCGCGGUGAAUACGUUCCCGGGCCUUGUACACACCGCCCGUCACACCAUGAGAGUUUGUAACACCCAAAGUCGGUGGGGUAACCUUUUAGGAGCCAGCCGCCUAAGGUGGGACAGAUGAUUAGGGUGAAGUCGUAACAAGGUAGCCGUAGGAGAACCUGCGGCUGGAUCACCUCCUUUCUAAGGAA
RNAcentral lists this ribosomal RNA (1547 nucleotides) under Limosilactobacillus fermentum. RNAcentral's name for it is "bacterial SSU rRNA". It matches the Rfam family "Bacterial small subunit ribosomal RNA". Lineage: Bacteria; Bacillati; Bacillota; Bacilli; Lactobacillales; Lactobacillaceae. The record is from RNAcentral.